UGCAAGUCGAACGAUAACGCCACCUUCGGGUGGUUAUUAAAGUGGCGAACGGGUGAGGAACACGUGGAUAAUCUUCCCCUAUAUCCGGGAUAAUCCUUCGAAAGGAGGUCUAAUACCGGAUAAUACUUUUUGGUGGCAUCACCAGAUAGUCAAAGGCGGGGUAACCUGCCGUUUAGGGAUGAGUCCGCGCCCCAUUAGCUUGUUGGUAGGGUAACGGCCUACCAAGGCUCCGAUGGGUAGCCGGCCUGAGAGGGCGACCGGCCACACUGGGACUGAGAUACGGCCCAGACUCCUACGGGAGGCAGCAGUAAGGAAUAUUGCGCAAUGGACGAAAGUCUGACGCAGCAACGCCGCGUGGGUGAUGAAGCACCUUGGUGUGUAAAACCCUUUCAGUGGGGAAGAACCGUGCAAUGAGUAACUGCGUUGCACCUGACGGUACCCACAGAAGAAGUCCCGGCUAACUCCGUGCCAGCAGCCGCGGUAAUACGGGGGGGACGAGCGUUGUUCGGAUUUACUGGGCGUAAAGGGCGCGUAGGCGGACCUUCAAGUCGGAAGUGAAAACCGUUGGCUUAACCAGCGGCCUGCUUUCGAUACUGUCGGUCUUGAGUUCAGGAGAGGAAAGCGGAAUUCCAGGUGUAGCGGUGAAAUGCGUAGAUAUCUGGAAGA
RNAcentral lists this ribosomal RNA (666 nucleotides) under uncultured bacterium. RNAcentral describes it as "bacterial SSU rRNA". It matches the Rfam family "Bacterial small subunit ribosomal RNA", at positions 56 to 705 of the family's 1533-position model. The record is from RNAcentral.